Long non-coding RNA from Balaenoptera acutorostrata (minke whale), 3829 nucleotides. RefSeq lists it as uncharacterized. NCBI's taxonomy places the organism in Eukaryota, Metazoa, Chordata, Mammalia, Artiodactyla, Balaenopteridae. The record is from RefSeq and is a predicted model, not a curated record. The transcript is spliced from 5 exons.
UCCGAGGCGGCGGCGCGGGUGCCACCCGCUGGGGCUCCGCUCCCCCUGCGCGAGCCCGCGCGUCCUUCCCGGCGAGGUCUCUCCGCGGCGCGGCCAGACCCAGUGCGAUUUUGACAGCAGUCAUCAUACCAAGCUAUUAUGAAGUGUGAUGUCAGUCUGGAGGACGGAUAAUAUAUAAGCCAGUUCUUGACACGCUAUCUUACAAGGAAACAUCUGAGACCAUCAGUCCACUUCACUUUGCCAUUGAACAUGAGCCCUAUAGGCAUAUAAUACAUAAUUGUUGAAAUGUAACUAAAAUGUGGAAAAUAUAUCUUCUUCUGGCUCAAGGAAUAUUAUUAUAAAAGAGUUAAAAACUGACCUUUCAUUUAUACAAACGGAAAAUUGUAUUGACUUCUCUCAAGUAGUAAGGUUGUAUCUCUUUUCCCUGACCCACUAUUUGCCUGCCCUCACUGAAGCGCCCUGGGCUUCUAAUGUGAGGAAAAACACGGAAUGACAAGUGUGGGAAAGAGCAAGCACUAAAUUACUGUCAGAAAAAUAAACGGAGUAGCACAGUGGUGCUCGGUGAUUUACGGGGGCAAUUAGUCACCACCCCACGGCGCUGCUGAGGACAGCAUGGCAGCAGACUCACCAGGCCCGAGAGGAAGAAGAGGCUUUGCACUGCUCUCCAGACAACUUUUCAAACAACAAGAGAGGAUAUUUGAGCACAUUAGGUUCCAUGUCUUCCUUCUGGGUGCCCACCCUUCACAUUAUUCAACCAACCUAAUACAUAAACAUAUUUUUAACACAAUAUUAACCUGUUCUGUGUGUGUUAAAAAGACCAACUGCAGCUUUUUUCUCUCCCACUGUCCAAAGUAGGUGUUUUCCUAUCCCGUAAAAAGCAAAACAAACGAACAAAAAAACCCUUUCCCCACUCACAAAUUGUCCCCCUGAUGUGUGCCUUCGGUCUGUCUCAUUACUUUUGCAUCUUGCUACUAUGUUCUAUAUUUGCUCAGAGCCACUGGGUGCUAAGGAAUUUGGUCUGCCGCUCCCCCAGGGAAGUUUGGUGAGCUGGUACAAGGAGGUGAUAAACAAGGCCAUUAAACACAGGGUAAAUGAAAAAGAUACAUAAACUUCCUGAUAUUUCUUUUUUUUUUUUAAACAUCUUUAUUGGAGUAUAAUUGCAUUACAAUGUUGUGUUAGUUUCUGCUGUAUAACAAAGUGAAUCAGUUAUACAUAUACAUAUAUCCCCAUAUCUCCUCCCUCUUGCGUCUCCCUCCCACCCUCCCUAUCCCACCCCUCUAGGUGGUCGCAAAGCACCGAGCUGAUCUCCCUGUGUUAUGCAGCUGCUUCCCACUAGCUAGCUAUUUUACAUUUGGUAGUGUAUAUAUACCCAUGCCACUCUCUCACUUUGUCCCAGCUUAUCCUUCCCCCUCCCCAUGUCCUCCUGAUAUUUCUUAACAUGUUCUGUAACAUACUGUAUGUAGUGCCUAUGUAUAUGUGCACAACAAAAUAAGCCUGGUAAAAUAUAAUUAAUUGGUGUGCAUGCUUUAAUAGGAAUUCUUCUCCAUCAGAAGAAACCUAGAAUGGAAGGCCAGAAAGAACCCAGGAGAGACGAAGACUUUAUUGACUAAAUGCCAUGUCUGUGUAGGGGCAACAGCAAGGCUGUUGAGGUGAACAAAUGAAGCUUCAUCAGGGACUUAGUGUCCUUCUGUAGUAUUACCUAAGAAUGUUGCCAUCUUAUAUUUCUGAAGCACUUUAUAGUUUACAAAGGACGUUUGGAAUUCCUUUUCUCAUUUGAUCUUGCCUUGGCUUUAGUCAAGGAUGCCUGCUCAGUUAGAAACGUGUUCAGUGAGUAUGUACACAGCUGGAGAAUGUGACCCAACACAUGCCACCUUGGCCUGUAAGCUGGAGUUUUAAAGAGGCAGAAUCAUAUUGAUGAGCUGGUGCCGGGAUUAUGCACCAUUCAGCUGGACAUUAAUUUCUGAUAGGGUCAUAACUGGGAAAAACUGCAGAUUUUACUGGCUACUCUUUUUUAUGUUAUUAGGGGGUUUUUCCCUCUUGAAUUUUAUAAGCACAAUGUGUCUUUUAAAACAAUUAAAAAAUAAUAUAGAGCCCUGGGAUUUGAUGUAAAAUUGCAUAUUUGUGACUGCAGUGGCCCUGGUUUUCAACUACCCUGUAACACGGAAAGCAAACCCAACUGGAAAGCAGGCAGAGGUGUUUCUCUGCCACAUCGCAGGCAUAUGAAAUGAGGUUCUUAAUUGAAUACCAGAAAUGAUAUAACUUGGAAAUUUAACCAAAGAUAUUUUCCAUCAGUGAGACCAUUUUAAAACACUUUAUUCAUUUUUCAGAUCUCUUUCUUCCUUUCCCCAAUGUCACAUUUAUAGUCUGGUAGAGGGGCACAAUUGGAAAAUUAUCUAUAUAUAAACAAAUGAAAUUUAAGAUAUAAAAAUUCUGCAAUUCUGAUAAAUUUUAUGUUCACUCUUUCCUUGAUCUAAAUAGAGUAUUCUAAAAAUAUUACGCAUAUAGGAGACACAUUUUUUUUUUAACAUCUUUAUUGGAGUAUAAUUGCUUUACCAUGGUGGGGGACACAUUUUUAUAUACAUGUUAUUUUUUUUUUUUUAAAUCUUCUAUUUAUUAUUUAUUUUUGACUGUGUUGGGUCUCCGCUUCUGUGCGAGGGCCUUCUCCAGUUGUGGCAAGCGGGGGCCACUCUUCAUCACGGUGCGCGGGCCUCUCACUGUCGUGGCCUCUCUUGUUGCGGAGCACAGGCUCCAGACGCGCAGGCUCAGCAGUUGUGGCUCACGGGCCUAGCUGCUCCGCGGCAUGUGGGAUCCUCCCAGACCAGGGCUCGAACCCGCGUCCCCUGCAUUAGCAGGCAGACUCUCAACCACUGCGCCACCAGGGAAGCCCUAUACAUGUUAUUUUUGUUUAGAAAUUGUGAGCUAGUGAAAAGUGAAAAUGACCUUGACUAUUGUACUUAUUUAUUGAUAGAAAUAAUAGCCUUUCAAUAUCUGGAUUCAAAUAGCUUCUCUACUAAUCACACAACUUUCAUAAAUUUCAAAACAAGGAUUUGGAUUGAAUGAAAACAGGAAGCUGGUGCUUCCUAUGUGCCCCCUGUAUUUGUGUUCAUAUGGAAUAUUUACGCAAUAUUCUGACUUGGCUUUAAUCUAUAAUUCCUGGCUAUUUCAGUUGCACUAUAAUUUUUAGAUUAAUCGUUAUGAUUUUGGUAAGGUAUACAUGAAAAGUUUUAUGUUCAUGCUUGAAAGGAGGAUCAUUAAACAUUCAUUACCACUCAAAUUAGUUGUCAUGUGCUAUAUAACAGUAACCCAAUAUCAUCUCACUAAUUUAGGUUCAGCAGCAAGUGAACAGCAAUAUAUAGCUCAUAUCAGUAGAGUAAUUUUUGUUGGGGAACAGAGAGAGAUGAUUUUAAAACCCAUUUGACAUAUUUAUGUUGACAAAUUAUUUAAAGAAAUUACUGCUUUGUCAAUAAACAUGUUUGUAUAUUGGAAUAGGAUUGUGUUUGGAUUUACUUCUAGCUGUUUAAUUAUUCUAUGAUUGUGAAAAACAGUGCUUAUUCAUAUGGUUAUGAGUAAAAAAAUAGAAAAUACAAAGGUUGAGAUGUUUUAAUCUUUUGCAGACACCUAACCUUGCCAAGAAAAAGCACUUUUCAUUUUUGUGAGCAGGCAUUGAAAUCUUGCUUUUUCAAUGAAGCUAGAUUGUAUAAUUUGUUAGUUUUCCCCAUAUGGUAACAAAUUAUCCUUAAGGAAAAAAAAAGCAAAAAGUAAAAGAAGAAAUGGAUUUUUAUAAAUUUUGUGGGUGAACAUAUAUAGAGAUGUCUCUUCGACUCAUUUA